UACGUAGGGUGCGAGCGUUGUCCGGAAUCAUUGGGCGUAAAGCGCGUGUAGGCGGCCCGGUAAGUCCGCUGUGAAAGUCGGGGGCUCAACCCUCGAAAGCCGGUGGAUACUGUCGGGCUCGAGUACGGGAGAGGCGAGUGGAAUUCCUGGUGUAGCGGUGAAAUGCGCAGAUAUCAGGAGGAACACCGAUUGCGAAGGCAGCUCGCUGGAACGUUACUGACGCUGAGACGCGAAAGCGUGGGGAGCAAACAGG
RNAcentral lists this ribosomal RNA (253 nucleotides) under uncultured bacterium. RNAcentral's name for it is "partial 16S ribosomal RNA". It matches the Rfam family "Bacterial small subunit ribosomal RNA", at positions 524 to 776 of the family's 1533-position model. The record is from RNAcentral.